UGGGGAAUAUUGCACAAUGGGGGAAACCCUGAUGCAGCGACGCCGCGUGAGCGAAGAAGGCUUUCGAGUCGUAAAGCUCUGUCCUAUGAGAAGAUAAUGACGGUAUCAUAGGAGGAAGCCCUGGCUAAAUACGUGCCAGCAGCCGCGGUAAUACGUAUGGGGCGAGCGUUGUCCGGAAUUAUUGGGCGUAAAGGGUUCGCAGGCGGCAUGGCAAGUCCGAUGUAAAAGGCGAAGGCUCAACCUUCGUAAGCAUCGGAAACUGUCAAGCUUGAGUGAAGGAGAGGCAAGUGGAAUUCCUAGUGUAGCGGUGGAAUGCGUAGAUAUUAGGAGGAAUACCGGUGGCGAAGGCGACUUGCUGGACUUCAACUGACGCUGAGGAACGAAAGCGUGGGUAGCAAACAGG
RNAcentral lists this ribosomal RNA (403 nucleotides) under Verrucomicrobiota bacterium. RNAcentral describes it as "Verrucomicrobia bacterium partial 16S ribosomal RNA". It matches the Rfam family "Bacterial small subunit ribosomal RNA", at positions 355 to 776 of the family's 1533-position model. The record is from RNAcentral. Lineage: Bacteria; Pseudomonadati; Verrucomicrobiota.